CCUACGGGAGGCAGCAGUGAGGAAUAUUGCACAAUGGGGGAAACCCUGAUGCAGCGACGCCGCGUGAAGGAAGACGGAUUUCUGUAUGUAAACUUCUAUCAGCAGGGGAGAAAAGUACGGUACCUGUCUAAGAAGCCCCGGCUAACUCCGAGCCAGCAGCCGCGAUAAUAGGUAGGGGGCAAGCGUUAUCCGGAUUUACUGGGUGUAAAGGGAGCGUAGGCGGUUUAGCAAGUCAGAAGUGAAAGCCCGGGGCUCAACCCCGGGACUGCGUUUGAAACUGUUGAACUAGAUUGCAGGAGAGGUAAGCGGAAUUCGUAGUGUAGCGGUGAAAUGCGUAGAUAUCACGAGGAACACCAGUGGCGAAGGCAGCUUACUGGACUGUAAAUGACGCUGAGGCUCGAAAGCGUGGGGAGCAAACAGGAUUAGAUACCCUAGUAGUC
Molecule: ribosomal RNA, 440 nt
Filed under: uncultured bacterium
Lineage: Bacteria
Description: partial 16S ribosomal RNA
Rfam family: Bacterial small subunit ribosomal RNA
Source: RNAcentral